This is a long non-coding RNA of Tympanuchus pallidicinctus (lesser prairie-chicken), 1370 nucleotides long. RefSeq lists it as uncharacterized. The record is from RefSeq and is a predicted model, not a curated record. The transcript has 2 exons. NCBI's taxonomy places the organism in Eukaryota, Metazoa, Chordata, Aves, Galliformes, Phasianidae.
CGUAGCUGCAUGAUCACUGCGGUUUGAGUAACCAUCCCUUGUGGAAACUGAGUGGAUGGCUUUGAUAAUUGUUAGAAAUGUACUUCUUUCCUUCCACUGCAUGCUUUUGCUUUCCAAACUUCAGAGUUUCGGCUAAUGUGACUGAACCCACCGUGCACAAGAGUUCAAAUUUAGCAGUCGUGCUAUCUUCUUAGAGCAGGAAGAGAAGUCCAGGGCUGGUGCAACUGACAAACCACAGCCAGAGACUCCAGGAGUUGCAAGCAGCGUGCUUCUGGGAAAGGGAUUGGUUAAAGGAACUGAGAAUGCUGGAAAAGCUUAAAUGUCUUCAGGGAAGCAAAAACUUGCUCUGGAGAGAGCUUGCAGCAUUUAAAACUCGACAUGGGAAUGACACAACCAAAAUCCUAGAGUGACAGCCUGCAUCUUUAGGAGAACAAUGCCAGCUGACUGAACAGUAAGACGCAAAGCAACAUGAUUUUAUCACUCAGGUAUACUGAUGAAAUUUUUUAGCAAUUUUCACUUUGUCGUUUAGAAAGCAGAGAGGAAAAGGGCACAGUUGUCUGGAGAAACAUUAUACGCAGCCGUAACACUACACUUUUGUCGACACUGUGUUUAAAAACUAGAAGAUUUGAAGAACUGAACUAUUGGCUAUCUACAUACUGUUAGCAACUGGCAGGACAAUAUGGCUAGUAGGCAUGGGACACUAAAAAAAUGUUUAGGACUGCAUUGAUGGUUAAAUCAUGUGAGCAAUUGGCUCCUUAUGCUGCAUGGGGAAUCUAUCAAGUGCCAUGAGAGAUCUUCAGAGGAAAAUCCUGCCUUGCAUCUAUGUCAUACAAUUAGUUUGUCCAAAGAAGGGCAACAAAGCUGGUGAAGGGUAUGGAGCACAGUCUUUUGGGGGUAGCUGAGGGAAUUGGGAUUGUUUAAUGUGAAGAAGAGAAGGCUCGGGGAGGCGUUACCACUCUCUACUAUUGUCUGAAAGGAAGCUGUAGCAUGGUGAGGGUUGUCCUCCCAAGCAUCUGGUGAUAGGACAAGAGGAAAUGGCCUCAAGCUGCAUCAGAGGAUGUUCAGGUUGGAUAUUAAGAAGAAUUUCUUCUCUAAAGGAGCGGUGAGGUAUUGGAACAGACUGCCCAGGGAAGUGGUGGAGUUACCAUCCCUGAAAGUGUUCACUUAAAGGGUAGAUACGGCAGUGAGGGAAAUGGCCUAGUGGACAUGGUGAUGCGUUGAUGGUUGGACUAGAUGAUGUUAGAGGUCUUAUCCAGCCUUGAUGAUUCUAUGAUUGGGAAUUAUGUCAUUUCUUUAGGAAAAGAAUUCCAUCCAUUUUUACUUAAAAUAAGAAAAAAUGCCUUUUUUAUUAAAGACAAACAAUGCAGUCA